This 423-nucleotide ribosomal RNA is filed under the name Mantidactylus guttulatus. Its description in RNAcentral is "partial 16S ribosomal RNA". It matches the Rfam family "Bacterial large subunit ribosomal RNA", at positions 2008 to 2597 of the family's 2925-position model. The record is from RNAcentral. Lineage: Eukaryota; Metazoa; Chordata; Amphibia; Anura; Mantellidae.
GGGUUCUACUGUCUCCUUUCUCUAAUCAGUGAAACUAAUCUCCCCGUGAAGAAGCGGGGAUACCACCAUAAGACGAGAAGACCCCAUGGAGCUUUAAACCCAACUACACCCCUACUUUCCACAUCCGCUCAACCAACAGGGCCCUGUACGCUUGGUUUUAGGUUGGGGUGACCACGGAGUAAAAUUAAACCUCCACGAUGAACGAGAAUACCCUCUUAUCUAAGAGCCGCACCUCUAAGAAUUAGUAUACUAACAUAAAAUGAUCCGAUACUCGAUCAACGAACCAAGUUACCCUGGGGAUAACAGCGCAAUCCAUUUCAAGAGCCCCUAUCGACAAAUGGGUUUACGACCUCGAUGUUGGAUCAGGAUACCCCAGUGGUGCAGCAGCUACUAAAGGUUCGUUUGUUCAACGAUUAAAAUCCU